This 255-nucleotide ribosomal RNA is filed under the name uncultured bacterium. RNAcentral describes it as "partial 16S ribosomal RNA". It matches the Rfam family "Bacterial small subunit ribosomal RNA", at positions 524 to 776 of the family's 1533-position model. The record is from RNAcentral.
UACAGAGGCCCCAAGCAUUACCCGGAAUCCCUGGGCGUAAAGGGUGUGUAGGCGGUCGUAUUAGUCUUUCGUGAAAGCUCUCGGACCCAAUCCGGGAAACGCGGGAGAAACGGUACGGCUACGAGGACGUAAGAGGUACAGGGAACUCAUAGUGUAGGGGUGAAAUCCGUUGAUAUUAUGGGGAACACCAAAUGCGAAGGCACUGUACGGGUACGCUCCUGACGCUGAAACACGAAAGCGUGGGAAUCGAACGGG